Equus caballus (horse) is the source of this 1139-nucleotide non-coding RNA. NCBI's taxonomy places the organism in Eukaryota, Metazoa, Chordata, Mammalia, Perissodactyla, Equidae. The record is from RefSeq and is a predicted model, not a curated record.
CAGGCUGACGCGGCUGUCGGGGCGGGUGCUUGGUAGACGUUCUCUUCGGUUCUGCUGCCAUCGGACAGCCCGGGCCCCUUGAGGCUGUGAGGGGUCCUGGCCGACGGCCCGAGACCCUGAGCCCCGAAGACCUCAGGAUGAGAGCAGAGGAAAGGGUCUUCUGACUCCAAAGAAAAGAGGCAUUGUUCUUCCAGUCCUUCAGGAUGUUCCCAAGUAUCUGGAGACUUCUGCUGGUUUACAGUUCAGGACUUAAAGAUGCCUUUUACUGCAUACCCCUGAGUCCUGAGUCCCAGGACCUGUUUGCCUUUGAAUGGGCCGAUCCAGAGACUAAUGUAAAACAACACUGUGGUUGGAUGAUACUUCCGCAAGGAUUUCAAAAUGCCCCCACCAUCUUCGGGGAAGCCUUAGCCAAGGACUUAAGGAAUCUCCAGGCAAUGCUCUUCUUGGACAACAGGAAACAGAAGAACUGAAACCUUUGGUGGGCAUGGAGGCCUACGGCGGGCAGUUCUACUCAAGAGUGUUCCUGUGACCCCCUAACUGAUCUUUUCAGAAAAAGCAACAAAAACUGAAGGAACUCGUGGGUCUCCAUGUACCAGGCUGAGUGGGUUUCAACUCCCUUUCUGAACCCGACUUCGACUGACCAAUACAAACAUCUCCAAACCAGGAUGAGAAGAAGACGGCAUUUGUUGUAGACAGCUGUCCCAAGACUCCAGACCAGGCCUGUGUUCUUAACCUUAUAAAUCCUCAUUUAAAUCUGUGUAACGUUUAAACCCUGUAUAAUUGUAUAACAGAUAAUUUCUAGAUUGCCUUACCUUUUUACCUCCCAGUACCUUACUCCUCCGGUUCUGUAAGAUAGCUUAGAACCUGAUUACAAAACUCUUUUAAUUAAUCACAAAAAUGCCAUUUAAGAUUUUCCUGAUGCUAUGUUUGUUUUUGCAGUUCACAUCUGAAUGGGCCUCUAAUGGCAAUGGUUUUUUUUUACAAUGGGCACAUUCCUUUGCCACACAUAAAAAUCAGUCCAGGGGCCGGCCUGGUGGUGCAGCAGUUAAGUUCCCAUGUUCCACUUCGGCAUCCCGGGGUUCACCGGUUUGGAUCCAGGUGCGCACAUGGUAUGGCUUGGCAAGCCGUGCUGUGGUAGG